RNAcentral lists this long non-coding RNA (8294 nucleotides) under Sus scrofa (pig). RNAcentral's name for it is "lncRNA (ENSSSCG00050026773.1)". Lineage: Eukaryota; Metazoa; Chordata; Mammalia; Artiodactyla; Suidae. The record is from RNAcentral.
CACCUGUCUCCUUUGAGCCUGGGGCUGAGCACCUCAAGUAAUAGGUGAGGCAGCCACUAGUAAUCGAUCCCACUGGCUCAGAAGUUGAAACUGAAUUUCCGUUCGGGUAUGCCUUUGCUCUGAGGGCAUGGUAGGAGAGCUUGCAGUGUCUCCUCAGCCUCGAGGGGAAGCCUGGGUUGUAUGGGGCUUUCUGGGUUAUUGGACAGUUGGGAGGUCUUGGCUUAAGCGCUGCCAUUGGAAAGAUGGUGGCUGCCCUGCUGAGGGGCUGGUGUGUGAGAGGCCAGUCGGACCCUCCGGGCAGACGAUGUUGCCCAGUGUCGAAGUGGAGACGCGCAGAAGGUGAGGCCUGGCUGAGGUCACAGACUUAGAGGCGGGGAGGAUGGUUGACGCCACCUGUUCAGCCCCGGGGCUCUGACCCCUCCCCCGAGCCACAGGUGGGCUCUCUGGGGUCCUGCCCCAGCCCCACCCUCUGGGGUCUUGCUCUGGCCUGACCGCUUGGAGCAGUGGACUGCCCAGCCCCGAGGCUGCGGUUUCCCCGCCCACCUGGCACUGGGGACCUGGGUUCCCUGGUACCUGGUUGAGAUCCCUGUGAGCCCUGGAGGCAGAGUGUGGGACUGUGGGUGCCCGCUUCUCUCCUCUGCUCAUGCCAGGUGCUCCAGGCCGGGGAGGUCCCUGCACUGACCUGGUCCUGGCUUGGGACUCGGCUUGUUCCAUCACAUGGCCUCCGUGGUCUCCAUGGGUUUCCACCCCAGAGCCGUGGCCUGCUCCUCAGUCGCCUGAGAAUUACUGCUGAUGUCAGCGCAGGCUGUGUGUUUUGAUCAACAAAAAGCUGAGUUUGGGGGUCCAGCAGGAAUGUGAGAUGAGACACUGGGGCCCCGUGGGAGCCUGUGCUUCCCCCUUUACCUCCUGAAUCCUCGUCACAGCUCCCUGACAUGGGAUGGCCACUCCCAUCUCACAGAUGGGGAACCGAGGCUCACAGAUGGGGAACCGAGGCUCUCCUAUAGAACCGCGUGGCUGUAAAGAAGCUGCAGAAGGAGGCUCCUACCAGGUCUCCGAGGCCCCAGCCCUUCCUUCCCUCCCUCUAGGUGUGGUUUGAAGUCCAGGGUCUUCCUCGGGGGGCAGCUGUCUCUGUCCUCUGCCCUGGGACAUGCUCCCCACACAGCGUCACUCCUUUCCUCCUCCUGGGUGCCCUGGCCUGGCUGCAGCGUGGGUGCCUGUCUGCCUGUCUCCCCUCUAGACAGGCCUUGGCUAAGGCAGGGGCCGCGUCUUGAGACCUCAGUAUCUCUGAUGUGAGCAUCCUGCCCGGCUCACGGGAGGCACGUGAUGACGUCUGGGGGAUGGGUGCGUGGAAAGCCAGAGGGGUCCUUCCAGCAAACUCCCCUCAUCGUGCCCUGGGCCAGGUGGGCCUCCACAAGUCUGGCUGAAUUGGGGGCAGAAGUUCUGCUCCCGGCCUCCCCAGACAGCAUGGAGACAGCUGGCGUGUCCUCUUCAGGUGUUAGUAGCCAGAGUCCUGCAGUCAAGCCAGAGAGGACCUGAAAGCCCCUUUCCUUUUGUUAAACGCAGCCCCACACUUGGUUCUGCUUGCGUUAGUCUCGCAUCGGUGGCGCAUGGCCUUUUCUUAGGUCCACACUUCAGGAGACCUCGAGAAAGCAGGUGUAAAUACGCACGCCUGCCAGCAGCCAGUGGCAGCAACCGCCUAAUAAACUCCAAGUAAAUAAUGUGCUGAUUAGCGGGAUGGCGGCCCCGGAGACGCUGGCCUCUGUGGGGGCAGAUCCCUGUCCACACCUGGGAUCCAGGGCUCCACGAAGUCCCAGGGCCUGUGGCUGACGCCCUGGUGACACCUGGGCUUUUCCGUAGGGAGAAGGGGGUGGCGGACCUGGCUGAACUCAAGUUCAGGCAGUGCUGCUCAGGAGGACGAGGCACUCGACCCUUCAGCUCCUGCUUUUCAAGGUCAGGGCUCUGAGGCUCGCCCGGGGGGAAGGAGCUCCUCAUUGCAGCCUCCACGGCCUCUGGACUCGCCUCUCAGUGCUGCCCCUGGGCCCCGCCGUCCCAACCAGGCCCCGUCGUAGCUUCCGUUGAUGAAAUACCGUCUCCGCGCCAGGCUGGUGCACCUGUUGUCUCCCGUCUUCCUACGGCUGCUGCGGCGCUGUGGGGGCGAGGACAGGGAGCAUCUGUAGCUGGCUCGGGUCACCCAGCCCACCUGCAGCUUGCUUGCCAGGUGUUGCUGUGGGACACUGCUGGGCCAGAACCGUGUUGUUGAGGGCUGGUGGUUGCUGGCAGGUGGCUGAGCUUGGCCUCCGGGGCUCCUUGCUGGGCCCUGGGUACCACUGCCCUUUGACCUGGCUGGACUCUGCCCAGCAAGCCCCUCGGUCACCCAGCAGCCUCUUUACUCCCAAAGAGCCCGCUCCCUGCCGCAUCUCUGGUCCCUGCUCCCCCGGGCAGCACUUAGUACACACCCCUGGGCUGAGCCCAUUACCUGUGUCCCUCCCCCCGGGGCAUUGACUGUGCUUUGAGCUCUGUGCAUCGGUCUCUGGCCUCAGCACCCAGGGCAAGGCCUUAGCACCCGGGAGGGUCUGGGGGAGAGAGGAAUGUCCUGUCCACCAGAAGCAGGUGGGCACUGUCUGUGACCCGAGCGUGUGCCCAAAGCUCGCCCGGCUUCGUGCGGGAACCCCCAGUCCAGAGGGCUCAGCUGGAGGGAGUUGAUUGGAAGGGAAGGGAAGGGGGAGCCCUUGCCCAGGUGAAUUCUGAGCGUGGGGGCUGCAGAGGCUUACGGUGCAGAGGGACCUCUGAGCUGGCGUGCUGUCUUCUUCUCGUGCUUUUUUUCCCUUUAUUAUGUGUGCCAUAACUGCCUCCACGAGAAAGGACUAUACAAUCUCUUACUUUGAGUGAACCAGUAUCAGAAGCGUUAAAACGAUGUUGAAAGGUUGGGAGUCAGACAUUCAAGGGAUGGGAAGUGUUGUUCCGGUAACCUGCACUGCAAUGGAGCACAGAAUUUAGCUCUGAACUUCCCGGCGGCCUUGGCAAAAAGGGAAACCUGGUGAAUUUGGAUUUGCAUCUGAAUACAAGCGGAAUGGUUUGGGACAGAGAUCAGGCUUCCUCUAAGAUAAAAGGCCAGUUGGUAGCUAUUUGAGGCUCUGUGGGCCCCCGUCCUCUCAUUUGCAGCUACUCAGCUCCGCCACGGCAGGGCAAGAGUGUUCACAGACAGUGUGUACUGAGUGGGUGUGGCAGUGUCAAUAAAUCUUUAUUUUUACAAAAACAGGCAGCCAGUCCAAGAACUGUCAUUGUCGGGUCUCCAAGAUGAGGAGCCGUGAGUGUCACGCGGACGCAUCACGAUGGCCUGUGGCAUCCAAAAAUGGAGACAGGUUUUCACAUCGACCCGCGCAGAAAGUGAGACAGAACGUCAGAGAGAGGGGGUCUGGUCCUCUCAUUUGGCACCCCCAGACCUCACUCUGCAUCUUUUUCCCUGGAGAGGGAGAGGUUUGGUCACAGAAGCCAGCGGCAUCGGCCUGGGGCAGAUGGACCUCGCCAGCUUGGGUGCGCCCUUCCUGAAGCCCCGGCCUUGGCCCCGCAGGCUCCCUUCCUGCGUGACCUCACUGUACAGGCUGCCCCUGUGGGUUGACCUUGACCCUCUGUCACCGGCUUGUUCUGCCAAGGAAGGAAGGGUAUUGGAAGGAGGGCCUUGGGCUGGCGGUGUGGCUCCACAGUGGGUUAAGAGGUAGUUAUCGUGGCAUUUUGUUCUGAUUGCUGGGGGCGGUAUAUAGGAAAAGGAAAUUUCUGCGCGUUCUGCUCAUUAGCAGUGACUUUCAGUUUGUUUAUCUCCUUACUCCUGACCUCAUUCCACAAAGGCUGGGAGGUGGGCAAGGCCUGCCAAGAUGUGCUGAACAUCUCAGCUGCUUUUCCUUCUCCAGAAAACAGAGGUUGCUGAAGCUCCCAGGGUGAGGCCGGGAGCUGCUGAGACUCGGCUGUCCCCUUUCCCAAGGGUCCAGGGUCACUGACACCUUGCCCUGCGCGGCUGCGUGUGUCUAAUGUCCAGGGGGGGAGGCGGAGCCUUUGGGAAAAUCUUUGAAUUUUUCCAGGCGGUCUAGAACUGGGAUGGGGCCCACAGUGUGGAUUCAACUUCUCUGGGAGCCCAGCUGGCCCUGGCGUCUGAGGUAGGGUGGUCCCUGCGUGCUUGUUUUCAGGGUCUGGAGAACCACUGGCCACACCGCCUGGAAGAAACGGCUGAGGGUCGAGCCCCCCGAGUUACCAGCCCCAGAAUUCUUUCUCCCCUUCCCCGGCCAGUCCUACCGUUCCUUCCACGACUGUUUUAUUUUCAUUCUCUCUUCCUAUGGCUGCGAGAGACUGCGUUUCCAUUAAGUAACGACCAUUUCACCCUCCUUUUCAAAGUAAUUUAUGUUUUUAUUCUUUCUUUCUUUCUUUAUGUAUUUUUUAUUUUUGCUUUUUAGCAUAUGGAGGUUCCCAGGCUGGGGGUCGAAUUGGAGCUGCAGCCGCUGACCUCACCACAGCUCGCGGCAACACCGGAUCCUUAACCCACUGAGCGAGGCCAGGAAUCGAACCUGCCUCCUCAUGGAUACUAGUUGGGUUUGUUUCCGCUGCACCACGAUGGGAACUCCUUUUUAUUUAUUUUUUAAGACUGCAUCUAUGGCUUAUGGAAGUCCCCAGGCUAGGGGUCAAAUCAGAGCUCCAGCUGCUGGCCUGCACCACAGUCACAGCCACAGCCACAGCCACGCGGGAUCUGAGCUGCAUCUGCAACCUAAACCACAGCCCAUGGCAACACUGGAUCCUUAACCCCCCGAGUGAGCCCAGGAAUCGAACCCGCAUCCUCGUGGAUACUAGUUGGGUUCGUUACCGCUGAGCCACGAUGGAAACUGCCUUUUCAAAGUAAUUUAGUGACGCUGCAUCUUCUGUACACCUGCCCACAGGUCUGGGACCUGGCCCACCUGUCCUGUCCCAGGUACCCUUUGAUAAGAGGUCUUGUCAGCCCAGGUGGGCUUAAAUUAGGACCCAAGCCAAGCAGUCGUGUUCACGUUGCCCAUGUGGCCUUAUUGUAGAUAAAUUCAUGGGUUUCUUUAGAUUUUGGCACGUUUAACAUGUUUGAAUAGAGAAUGCCCUUCGCGACUACCUUCAGGGACCCAAGGCUGGAACUGAGAUGCUGGUGCUCGGUUUAGUCUGAAGCAUAUGCCUUCCAGCCUUUGGGUGCAGGUUCCCCCUCUGCCUGGGUGCAGGGAAAGAGGGGGGUCACCUUUGAGGGAGAAGGUUCUGGACUCUUUGGAAGCACAUGUCAAUGUCCGGCUUCUUGCUGGCCAGCGCUCGCCCAUCACUGAUGCUCUGAGUGACUGCGGGGUGAGCAGAGGAGGGAUCCCUGCCAGGCACUGCCUGGGGGAAGGGGUUGUCUGAGUGCCUUUGGGGUGCGGUGCCAGGGUGGGGGGCACAAGUUUCUGGCUCCCCCACCACCUGCCUCCCUCCCCACCAUGCCCCCAUCCCCCCCACCGAGGGCACGAUGCCUCAUCACUGCAGACAGGAGGCGCUCAGGGAGCUCAGUAUCGGGUCCACAGGCCCUCAGCUUCUGCCCGAUGCCAGGGAGUGGCUGGUCUCCAAGUUCACCAGGGGCCACCACACAGCUCGGGGGUGGAUCCCGUCGGCAGCAACCGCCCACAGCGGUGACUGUCCCCCUUCAGCUGCACACCCCGUCAUCACGCCCGGGCGGCCUUUUCCAUUUCCAAGGUCAGCUCUGAGCGGGGUCCCAGAGGGUCCCCGCUCUGGGGGCUGCACAGAGCCUGGAAGUCUGGGGCAGGGGCAGACCCACGAGGAAGAAGCCUCUCCGACUGAAGCAGUCUUGGGAGGACAGGGGCCACCCAGCACCCAGGACCUCUCUGCGAUGCCCAUUGGCUGGAAGGUGGGGUGACAGGGGCUGGGGCGGGCGUAUGGCAAAAGGAUUCUUUAGACCUCAAGAAGCAAGGUGGCAGCUUCCUGCUGUGCUGGGCUGUAACGAUGCCUUCAGGUGUGUGUGUUGGGGGGUCCCUUUUAGACCUGCAUCCCCGUCAGCUCAGAGCCUGGGCACGUCUGCGUUGUUUCCACCCCGGUGGUGGCAUUUACAGGCGUGGACUGAGCUCACUGUGGAUGCUCUCGUGGGUCCUUGCUCACGUGGCACUUGACGCCCUUUCUGUCUGCUGAGGCCGCAGGGACGAGAAGGGGGCUGGCGGGCAGAGGAGCAGCUGCUGCCUUGGUGCUCGGUGGCUGGGAACCUUCUUCCCACGGCUAAGCCUCUGUUUCCUCCUCUGGGAAGUGGGGCGUUAACUGAGAUAACGCGUGGAAGGGCCCAGCCUGGUGCCUGGGCAUGCUGGACACCUGGAAAGGCAGCUGCCAUUCAUUCUGUCCAGGUGGGCUGUGGCAUCAAACGGCCGAGGACAGGAAUCAGGGGCCCCUCUGCGCGUCUCCACGGACAGAACCUUUCAGUGGCUGCCCCUGCCCCAAGUUCCCAGGGUUCUUGGUGGAGGGUGGGGGGGUCGUUUGGCCCAAGUCCCUCCCCAGCCAGAGACCCGGGCACAGGGAGCGGGAGGGGCUUGCUCAGGCUGUUCGCUGUUCUAGGCAGCGGGAUACAGAGAUGAGGGCUCAGCCCCUGGAGGAUGCCAGGCAAAGGGACUGGGAGCCGUGCGAUGCCUUCAGGGACCAUCGAGGGAGGCUGAGAGCUCUGGAAGGGGCCUGAGCCGGGACAUGAAAGAGGCGAAGCCAUUCCCCGUGGAGGAUGGGAGGCCACUGGAGGCGGAGGGAGUGACGGCACUCGGGGUGUUCUGGGCCCUGCGAGUAGCCAGCUUGACGUCGGGAGCCUAGGACACGGUGCAGAGGGGGUGGAACAGGUCACCAGCAGCAGAUCAAGGGGUGCACAGGUGCCAGGCUUGGGGGUCUGUUGUUUCUCCCUUGUCUUGGGAGAUGGAGGGUUCCCAGCUGUGUGACUUAGGAAGAAUCACUUCACCUCUCUGAGCCUUCCGUGGUCAUCUGUAAACUGGGGAAGCUGGUGAUGCUGAUGGUUACGGGGCUCGAAUAAGGGUCUAGACGUGCGCAGCCCUAGUGCACGGGAGCAUUGCCCUGUCACCUUUUGUGCCCCCCCCCAACCCCAGGGUCUGAUGUGUUAAUUGUGUGUGACAGCUUUUCAACUAGUGAUCACUCUUAAGCCGUUGAUGGUCAAUUUGUUUUUCAGGCUUUCUUUAAAAUGAGUCUCGGUUUGGCUUCCAGGGGUAGGAAUCCCUGGCUGGAGUUGCUUUUUCCUCUGUAGAAAUAUUUGCAUGGGCCGCUGGCCACUUCUCCUGGGAAACUGGAUGCUCUGUGGCAUUGCUCCCGUCCUUAGGAGAAUGCUGGGGGCCUGGAAAGUUGGACGAUGUGUGUCCACUCUCUGACCCACCUCAAGGCCCAGGCCGCGCCUCCCCAUGCCGGGCCGGGCUAUGCCUGCUUCCCUAGGUCAGCAGAGUGUGGUCUGGGAGGCAGAAAGGCCCGAGGCAGCUGGCCCUGGGUGGGGAGGCCCAGCUCCCUUUGGCAGAGGGGAGGCUUCCCAUUUAGUUUGGAUCAGCAAAUAUUGAUGGAGGGCCGGUGUGUGCCAGCCUGGGGAAGGGCCCCCCAGGUGACCCCCACGCAGGCCCUGUCCUCAGUGAGCUCCCUGCUCCCGAGUUCCUUCUGGGUUGACCUGGAGGCGGCCGUGCCAGCCUCCUGCCGUGUGCUGGGGAGUCCAGAACCAGGAACCUGGCCUGAGGGGCGGGCCACACAGCACGGGUGGGGGCAGGAGGGGGAGAGGACACAGAUGCCUCCCACCCCAGUGUCACGACCAAGGUGGCAUCCCCAGGUACUGGGCUGAGAAUCCUUCACCUUUGGGGGAGCAGACAAAGCGCCCUUGGCCUCCAGAGGAGGCCUGUCGAGGUUGGAGGGCUGCCAGCUGUGCGUUCUGGAGCCAAGUGCACGGCCUAGACCCCUGGCCCUGAUGGCCGAUGUGCCAGCAUCUCGAGCCCUGGCACUGACCGUGCAGUGCAACCGGCCUUUCGGUGCUUGGCACCAGCUCAGCUGUGGGCUUCCUGAAACUGGGAUGACAAAGCUCCAAACGGGAUUUCAGCCGCCCCUGCCCACCCGAGUGGAAUCCGCCCUCCCUGCAGUCUGACCAGGCCUGGGCGCCGAGGCCGGGGCAGUGGGUGGGCUCGCCUGUCCGUGGUGUGGACCCCGCAGCAGCUCAGAUCUCUGCACACGCGUGGGUGAGCCCGGGGUGGUGGUGGGGUUCACUGCUGUUCACCCACCCUGGGUUAAUAAGAUUG